UUAGCCCUAAACAUCAAUUAUCAAUAAACAAGAACAUUCGCCAGAGAACUACUAGCAACAGCCUAAAACUCAAAGGACUUGGCGGUGCUUUACAUCCCUCUAGAGGAGCCUGUUCUAUAAUCGAUAAACCCCGUUAAACCUCACCACCUCUAGCACAUACAGCCUAUAUACCGCCAUCUUCAGCAAACCCUACCAAGGCCCCAUAGUAAGCAUAAAAAUUUCACAUAAAAACGUUAGGUCAAGGUGUAGCCCAUGAGGUGGGAAGAAAUGGGCUACAUUUUCUAAUUUUUAGAACAACUUACGAUAGCCUUUAUGAAACCUAAAUGCCCAAGGAGGAUUUAGUAGUAAGC
The sequence is a ribosomal RNA, 350 nucleotides long. It matches the Rfam family "Bacterial small subunit ribosomal RNA", at positions 833 to 1343 of the family's 1533-position model.